This 473-nucleotide ribosomal RNA is filed under the name uncultured bacterium. Its description in RNAcentral is "bacterial SSU rRNA". It matches the Rfam family "Bacterial small subunit ribosomal RNA", at positions 335 to 801 of the family's 1533-position model. The record is from RNAcentral.
ACUCCUACGGGAGGCAACAGUAGGGAAUCUUCCACAAUGGGCGCAAGCCUGAUGGAGCAACACCGCGUGAGUGAAGAAGGGUUUCGGCUCGUAAAGCUCUGUUGUUAAAGAAGAACACGUAUGAGAGUAACUGUUCAUACGUUGACGGUAUUUAACCAGAAAGUCACGGCUAACUACGUGCCAGCAGCCGCGGUAAUACGUAGGUGGCAAGCGUUAUCCGGAUUUAUUGGGCGUAAAGAGAGUGCAGGCGGUUUCUAAGUCUGAUGUGAAAGCCUUCGGCUUAACCGGAGAAGUGCAUCGGAAACUGGAUAACUUGAGUGCAGAAGAGGGUAGUGGAACUCCAUGUGUAGCGGUGGAAUGCGUAGAUAUAUGGAAGAACACCAGUGGCGAAGGCGGCUACCUGGUCUGCAACUGACGCUGAGACUCGAAAGCAUGGGUAGCGAACAGGAUUAGAUACCCCUGGUAGGAUAGCG